Long non-coding RNA from Drosophila albomicans, 1417 nucleotides. RefSeq lists it as uncharacterized. The transcript has 3 exons. The record is from RefSeq and is a predicted model, not a curated record. Lineage: Eukaryota; Metazoa; Arthropoda; Insecta; Diptera; Drosophilidae.
CGUAAUCUUCCUUUUAGGCCACCCAAGGGGUGGUAGUAAACAUUUCCUUCGGUCACACCUCUGAUGCAGUGAGCAAGAAGCUGCGAGCACCUGGCUCCACCAAGAACAGCAAUACUGACAGCAGCAGACAACGAGAGAGAGAGCAACGGUUGCUGAAACUGCUAGGCGGCAUCUCGCCGGUGCUCUCAUCGACAGGAGGGAACCUAACGGGAAAAUGUCUGCAGAGCGGGGCCGAAUGGAGAAAGCCAAUGACAGACAGCUCAAUGCCUACCUUGGAAGGCACGGGUUGGAUGAAUGGAGACAAGAUCCCGACCCAACGUUGCUUUGGCUGAAAGCGACCGAUCCCAAACUGAACUGAUUAUAGAAGGGGGUCACGUGGUGGACAGGAAUAAUAUGCCGAAGGCAAAGUUCCUGCUCUCUAUAGCUGUGCAGGGCGAGCGGGCGCUUCAGCUGCUUAAGAAGCAGAACCCGAACAUUCCGAUGAUGGGUGAUGGGUCCGUGCUGAAGGCUGAUAAACCUUUACCCUGUGAUGGGUAGCACGUGAUCAUUCAGAUCAAUAAGAAGGCCGAGGAUCUGCUGUACAAGCGCAACGGAAAGAUAACAUGGGGCUUAGGGAGCGUGUAACUUCGCCUCAAAAAACGCCAUCCGAAAAAAAAGACACACACACGUUGAGAUCAGGUGAAGUAAAAGUUCAGAGAGCUUGACCGACGCCACCCUGAACCUCAACUUGACAGACGAGACGAAGUAGCUGUCCAUGCAGACGGCCCCCUGCGAGUUUGCAACCCUUUAAGUCGAAAAUGGAUUCGGCAAAGCUCCUUCUCGCUCUAGAGGAAGGGUCCGCCUACGCGGCUUUAGUUCAGGAACCGUGUGCAACACGGUCGCAGGACUGAAGUUGCCUAACUACAAUCUAUACGUCCCGACAUUGCACUGACGAUCUAACCGUGAUGGUGCUGGAGAGCUGUGAAGGAUGUAUGCUUCUAGCAUCCUGCUACAUGGCCCACGACGGACUCGGUCCACCGGAAGAGCUGCGGAGAUUGGUGGACAUGGUCUGCUUCUCCAACAAGCAACUUAUUUUUGGUACGGACGCCAACGCCCACCAUAGCGUUUGGGGAAGUCCCGGCGUUAAUGAAAGGGGUCAGUCAGUACUUGAUUUUAUUAUAAAUUAUAAGCUAAGACUAGCCAACAGAGGUGAGGAAUUUACUUAUACAGGUUCCACCUCUCGUAACGUGCUAAAUGCACCCAACUAUAUAUAGACUAGAAUAUAUCUGGUCAAAUUAAACGGAUUUGAAUUUAAAUAAAAUGUUUGAACAUAUGAAUUUAUUAAAUUGUCACGACAGGGUCGUCAAACAAGCUGUGUUCACCAACACUAAACACUGUUAGUGAAUAAUUUUUUCUUAUCGAUAAAUAGCUCUAGCAG